RNAcentral lists this ribosomal RNA (643 nucleotides) under uncultured Actinomycetes bacterium. Its description in RNAcentral is "bacterial SSU rRNA". It matches the Rfam family "Bacterial small subunit ribosomal RNA", at positions 232 to 885 of the family's 1533-position model. The record is from RNAcentral. Lineage: Bacteria; Bacillati; Actinomycetota; Actinomycetes.
CGCGGCCUAUCAGCUUGUUGGUGAGGUAAUGGCUUACCAAGGCGACGACGGGUAGCCGGCCUGAGAGGGUGACCGGCCACACUGGGACUGAGACACGGCCCAGACUCCUACGGGAGGCAGCAGUGGGGAAUAUUGCACAAUGGGCGCAAGCCUGACGCAGCAACGCCGCGUGAGGGACGACGGCCUUCGGGUUGUAAACCUCUUUUAGCAGGGAAGAAGCGCAAGUGACGGUACCUGCAGAAAAAGCACCGGCUAACUACGUGCCAGCAGCCGCGGUAAUACGUAGGGUGCAAGCGUUGUCCGGAAUUAUUGGGCGUAAAGAGCUCGUAGGCGGUUUGUCGCGUCUGCUGUGAAAACGCGAGGCUCAACCUCGGGCCUGCAGUGGGUACGGGCAGACUAGAGUGCGGUAGGGGAGACUGGAAUUCCUGGUGUAGCGGUGGAAUGCGCAGAUAUCAGGAGGAACACCGAUGGCGAAGGCAGGUCUCUGGGCCGCAACUGACGCUGAGUAGCGAAAGCAUGGGGAGCGAACAGGAUUAGAUACCCUGGUAGUCCAUGCCGUAAACGUUGGGCACUAGGUGUGGGGCUCAUUCCACGAGUUCCGUGCCGCAGCUAACGCAUUAAGCGCCCCGCCUGGGGAGUACGG